Molecule: ribosomal RNA, 508 nt
Filed under: uncultured bacterium
Lineage: Bacteria
Description: bacterial SSU rRNA
Rfam family: Bacterial small subunit ribosomal RNA
Source: RNAcentral
GAUGAACGCUAGCGAUAGGCCUAACACAUGCAAGUCGAGGGGCAUCACAUGAGGCAGCAAUGCCGAUGGUGGCGACCGGCGCACGGGUGAGUAACACGUAUGCAACCUGCCUUCAACAAGGGGAUAACCCGUUGAAAAACGGACUAAUACCCUAUAAUACAGGGGUCCCGCAUGGGGAUAUUUGUUAAAGAUUGAUCGGUUGAAGAUGGGCAUGCGUUCCAUUAGCUGGUUGGUGAGGUAACGGCUCACCAAGGCAACGAUGGAUAGGGGAACUGAGAGGUUUAUCCCCCACACUGGUACUGAGACACGGACCAGACUCCUACGGGAGGCAGCAGUGAGGAAUAUUGGUCAAUGGACGCAAGUCUGAACCAGCCACGUCGCGUGAAGGAAGACGGCCCUACGGGUUGUAAACUUCUUUUGUAAGGGAAUAAAGUGUAGUACGCGUACUAUUUUGCAUGUACCUUACGAAUAAGGAUCGGCUAACUCCGUGCCAGCAGCCGCGGUAAUU